AAUAAGAUUAUUUUUCAGUUUUUUAUAUAAUGUUUUAACUAUUCAUCUUAUUUAAAUUUUUUUUGAAUAAUAUUUUUAUUCUUACUAGAUGAUAAAACAUGAAUAAUACUUUAUGGGUGAAUAAUUUUUCUAAGUUUUUGUAUAAUUUUUUUCAAAUAAGACGAACGGUUAAACGUUAGACACAGAAAA
This 189-nucleotide microRNA precursor is filed under the name Oryza brachyantha (malo sina). RNAcentral describes it as "MIR812 microRNA precursor family". It matches the Rfam family "MIR812 microRNA precursor family". Lineage: Eukaryota; Viridiplantae; Streptophyta; Magnoliopsida; Poales; Poaceae. The record is from Rfam by way of RNAcentral.